This 407-nucleotide long non-coding RNA is filed under the name Elaeis guineensis (African oil palm). RNAcentral's name for it is "long non-coding RNA (EGUI_LNC029764)". The record is from RNAcentral. Lineage: Eukaryota; Viridiplantae; Streptophyta; Magnoliopsida; Arecales; Arecaceae.
UUUCCAGUCUUGCAUUUUUUAUGCAAGAUUUUCUAUCUUUUUCUUGAUCAUCAAACAACCCUCCGUAUUUCUUUUUCUCCCUCUCGUUGGUUUGCUUUUCGGAGCAAACCUUCAUUUUAAUUGAUAAAAGAGUGAGCAUCAAUUAAAAUGGGAGUUGCAGGUACUGAUGCAUCCGUGGCUUGAAGGUGGUAAGGUUAUAAAAAGGUAGGAAGAUGAAGAAGGUUGGAUAUGAGAACAUGGUGGGGCCAACGCGGUCAGAUUUUUAUUCAUGACGAAUAUGUUGGAACGUAAUGAAGGUCAAUGAAAGAGGCUUUGCAAAUAUAAUAUCAUCUUAGCAAGCUACAGUUGUCUAAAGAAGUGGGAGUAAAAAUGGGAGCAGCUAAAAAAUUACAUUAGAUUGAGGGUGC